AAUGCGAGCUUGCUCGCAUGGCAAACGGGAGAGUAACACGUUGGUAAUCUACCUCUAUCUUAGGCAUAACCCGGAGAAAUCUGGAGUAAUACCUGAUAGUCAUGGGGGGACAUAAGUCAUUCCCAUGUAAAGAUCCGUCGGAUAGAGAGGAGCCUACGGCACAUCAGCUUGUUGGUAGGGUAAUGGCCUACCAAGGCUACGACGUGUAACGGGUGUGAGAGCAUGACCCGUCCCACUGGAACUGAGAUACUGUCCAGACUCCUACGGGAGGCUGCAGUCAAGAAUCUUCCUCAAUGGACGAAAGUCUGAAGGAGCAAUGCCGCGUGAUCGAUGAAGCUUUUCGGAGUGUAAAGAUCUUUUAUCAGGGACGAAUU
RNAcentral lists this ribosomal RNA (374 nucleotides) under uncultured bacterium. RNAcentral's name for it is "bacterial SSU rRNA". It matches the Rfam family "Bacterial small subunit ribosomal RNA", at positions 65 to 451 of the family's 1533-position model. The record is from RNAcentral.